GACGAACGCUGGCGGCGUGCUUAACACAUGCAAGUCGAACGAAGAGCGAUGGAAGCUUGCUUCUAUCAAUCUUAGUGGCGAACGGGUGAGUAACGCGUAAUCAACCUGCCCUUCAGAGGGGGACAACAGUUGGAAACGACUGCUAAUGCCGCAUACGAUCUGACCUCGGCAUCGAGGAUAGAUGAAAGGUGGCCUCUAUUUAUAAGCUAUCACUGAAGGAGGGGAUUGCGUCUGAUUAGCUAGUUGGAGGGGUAACGGCCCACCAAGGCGAUGAUCAGUAGCCGGUCUGAGAGGAUGAACGGCCACAUUGGGACUGAGACACGGCCCAGACUCCUACGGGAGGCAGCAGUGGGGAAUCUUCCGCAAUGGACGAAAGUCUGACGGAGCAACGCCGCGUGAGGGAUGACGGCCUUCGGGUUGUAAAGCUCUGUUAAUCGGGACGAAAGGCCUUCUUGCGAAUAGUUAGAAGGAUUGACGGUACCGGGAUAGAAAGCCACGGCUAACUACGUG
This 510-nucleotide ribosomal RNA is filed under the name uncultured bacterium. RNAcentral describes it as "partial 16S ribosomal RNA". It matches the Rfam family "Bacterial small subunit ribosomal RNA", at positions 28 to 507 of the family's 1533-position model. The record is from RNAcentral.